RNAcentral lists this transfer RNA (73 nucleotides) under Mus musculus (house mouse). It matches the Rfam family "tRNA". From Rfam's summary of the family: Transfer RNA (tRNA) molecules are approximately 80 nucleotides in length. Their secondary structure includes four short double-helical elements and three loops (D, anti-codon, and T loops). The record is from Rfam by way of RNAcentral. Lineage: Eukaryota; Metazoa; Chordata; Mammalia; Rodentia; Muridae.
GGGGGAGUGGCUCAGCAGUUGAGAGCACUGACUCCUCUUUCAGAGGUCCUGAGUUCAAUUCCCAGCAACCACA